RNAcentral lists this non-coding RNA (27 nucleotides) under Homo sapiens (human). The record is from RNAcentral. Lineage: Eukaryota; Metazoa; Chordata; Mammalia; Primates; Hominidae.
UGGCAGGAUAGUCGAGGUAUGCUGAGA